GUGGAAGUGCAUGGAAGUGCGAGCAGCAGCGACGUGGUGGUCAUCUCCCUCAACCAGCCUGCUAACGUCGUGGAAAAGAAAGUCCCGGAGCUGGAGAAGUCUUUGGGUGCAGCUCUGGGCUGGACCGUGAACGUCAUAGAGGUGUCGAGCGCUAACGGAGGAUCGUCUGAGUCCAGAACCUGGAGAGCCGCCGUGAAGACUUUGGUCAGCUUCAUCAGUGUGAACGGACAAGACGUUGUUUCUGCCGAAGAAGUCACAAAGAAACUGCAGAGCCAAUCAGCUGCUGUGAGGGCGGAGCUGGUCAAAGUGUUCGGGGAGAGUCUUCAUUUUGACGUGGAGGUGAAGCCUCAGAGCCCCGCCUCCAACCAGGCGGCUGUCAUCGCUCUGGCAACCUUGUUGGCCCUGAGCAUGCUGGGAUUGAUUGUCGCUGUCGCCUUGAUCAUCAGGUGAGACUGGAAACAGUCGUGUCCUUCAGACCGGUUAUGUUACAUAAGAAUCAACUUCAUAUUUAUAGUACGACAGUAUCGUGUUUACAGAUUGUCUCAGAAUCUCGGAAGUCGAAAAAAUUACUAUUUUAAAAAUUAAAUUUAGAUUUUCAAAUCUAAAUUUUAAGAUCAGAUUUCUGAAUUAAUGUCCAUCGUUGUGUUUGAAGACUCCCUUUACCC
RNAcentral lists this long non-coding RNA (665 nucleotides) under Sander lucioperca (pikeperch). RNAcentral describes it as "lncRNA (ENSSLUG00000009093.1)". The record is from RNAcentral. Lineage: Eukaryota; Metazoa; Chordata; Actinopteri; Perciformes; Percidae.